Molecule: ribosomal RNA, 204 nt
Filed under: uncultured bacterium
Lineage: Bacteria
Description: partial 16S ribosomal RNA
Rfam family: Bacterial small subunit ribosomal RNA
Source: RNAcentral
CCUACGGGAGGCAGCAGUGGGGAAUAUUGCACAAUGGGGGCAACCCUGACCGAGCAACGCCGCGUGAGUGAAGAAGGUUUUCGGAUCGUAAAGCUCUGUUGUAAGAGAAGAACGGAUGUGGGAGUGGAAAAUCCAUGUCGUGACGGUAUCUUACCAGAAAGGGACGGCUAACUACGUGCCAGCAGCCGCGGUAAUACGUAGGUC